Molecule: ribosomal RNA, 279 nt
Filed under: uncultured bacterium
Lineage: Bacteria
Description: partial 16S ribosomal RNA
Rfam family: Bacterial small subunit ribosomal RNA
Source: RNAcentral
UGCCAGCCGCCGCGGUAAUACGGAGGGGGCUAGCGUUAUUCGGAAUGACUGGGCGUAAAGGGUGCGUAGGCGGUAAAUAAAGUUGAAGGUGAAAUCCCAGAGCUUAACUUUGGAAAGGCGUUCAAAACUUAUUAACUAGAGUAUGAGAGAGGAUAGUGGAAUUUCUAGUGUAGAGAUAGAAUUCGCAAAGAUUAGAAGGAACACCAGUGGCGAAGGCGACUGUCUGGCUCAAUACUGACGCUGAGGCACGAAAGCAUGGGGAGCAAACGGGAUUAGAUA